This 564-nucleotide ribosomal RNA is filed under the name Grammicolepis brachiusculus. RNAcentral's name for it is "partial 12S ribosomal RNA". The stretch from base 237 to 564 matches the Rfam family "Bacterial large subunit ribosomal RNA", at positions 568 to 1028 of the family's 2925-position model. The record is from RNAcentral. Lineage: Eukaryota; Metazoa; Chordata; Actinopteri; Zeiformes; Grammicolepididae.
GCAUUUCCCUUACACCGAAAAGCCGCCCGUGCAAAUCGAGCCACCCUGACGCCCAACUGCUAGCCCAAAACCAUUUAUAAAACCAAAAUAUUAUUAACAUUAAAUAACCUAAAAUCCCCCAACAAACCAUUUUACCCCUCAAGUAAAGGCGAUAGAAAAAGGACUAACGGAGCAAUAGAAAAAGUACCGCAAGGGAAAGCUGAAAAAGAAAUGAAACAAAUCAAAUAAGCCUGAUAAAGCAGAGAUUACACCUCGUACCUUUUGCAUCAUGAUUUAGCAAGUAAAGCCCAAGCAAAGAGUCCUGUAGUUUGAGACCCCGAAACUAAGCGAGCUACUCCAAGACAGCCCAAAUAGAGCAAACCCGUCCCUGUGGCAAAAGGGUGGGAAGAGCUUUGAGUAGAGGUGACAAACCUACCGAGCAUAGUUAUAGCUGGUUACCUGAGAAAUGAAUAGAAGUUCAGCCCUCCGGCUUCCUGCCCCUCCCUAGUACUACUAAUAUCGGCUACAAGAAAACCAGAAGAGUUAAUUAAAGGAGGUACAGCUCCUUUUUAAUAGAAACACCUU